Apis cerana (Asiatic honeybee) is the source of this 2814-nucleotide long non-coding RNA. RefSeq lists it as uncharacterized. The record is from RefSeq and is a predicted model, not a curated record. NCBI's taxonomy places the organism in Eukaryota, Metazoa, Arthropoda, Insecta, Hymenoptera, Apidae.
GAUGAUGAGAGACAAAGCAGAAUUUUAAAUAUAUAAAAUUCAGAUUUUUGUGAAGUGAAUCUCUAUCACUUUAUUACAAAACAUAAAAAAAAAGAAUUAUUAUUUCACAAAUACGCACAAAUUUUCAUUAGAAUCAGGAUUAAACGAAUUUUGUUUCUGCGAGAUGGGAAAAUUCGAAUGUUUUUAUUAACCACGACAAAGGGAAAAAUCACAAGGCAGAAAAAGAGGAAGGGGUGGAAGAAUGAAAAAAGAAAGCGGCGCAAAGUCGAGUGCGACUCGAUCAAGACAAAGAAGCGGUGGCUCGAGAGUAACGUUGGCGCGAUAAAGGGAUCGUACAUCGCUGGCGAGAUAAUGUUCCCUAUUCUCUCGAAACGAGUUUCGCAUAUCUUUCGACUGCAUUUUUCUACGAGGUGUCGUUCCGACGAAUAGAAACGCGCAUCGACGCGUAAAACGACACUGACAAGUAAGGGUUCUCGUUAAUUGACACGGAAUACACGAAGAGCGAGAAUCAGUGGAGGCGGAUGGGAUAUUUCGAGAAUUGUUACUUUUUUGUCGUUUCCAAGUUGAAUUUUUUCAAAGUCAGUAAAUCGGGAGAAAAAUUGGAAAAAAUUUCUUAGAAUUGUGAUAAUUAUGAAGUAAAAAGAAAAAAAAAAGAAAAAAGGUUUACGUUCUUGUUUUUGGUAAUAAUUGAUCAACAAUAAAAUAACACGGAGUUUAUUGAAGUAAUCCCAGAAAUUGAGAAGAUAACUCGAUGAUAUUAUCACGGAGUGAUGGUCACAGAGACAGAUUAUUCGAUUCCACCGUUCACCCGUAUUGCAACUAUGGCCGGCAUAAUUGAAUUUCCUCGUUAAUUAAAAUGUCCACUAUUAUGCAGCAUGGUUCGAAACCUGGUUUCCGACGAGAAACCUGGGAUUUGUAUUAUCUACGUAAUAAUUAGAACGUCAUAAAUCCAGCCACGGUUAAUACCGUAAAUACGUAGAGAAGAUAUCCUGUGUAUUAUGUUUCGUAUUUUCGCAAAAUGAUUCCCGGGGAAAGGGAAUAUUUUUCGAAUAUUUCCCACUUCUUACGAAUUCACGUUGAUAAGAUCGAUCCAGUAUAUAGGCUGGACUGGAUUGACGGGUUGCACGCGACGAUAACGUUUUUCGAUAACGUUAAACGUUGUCGUGUCAGUGGCUUUUGUUCUUCCCCCUCCACUCUUCACGCUUUUUCCCUUUUUUAUCGACGGUUCACCGCACGAUCUGUCGCCACCAAUUUCUCGUCGAGUCAUUUCCAAAUCGGUGAAACGCCUACCGCGCUCGCGUCCUUACCGUCGGUCGAUAACACGAUCGGACGUAUAAACACAAACUUUCCUCGAAACGCGAAAGAUAGUUGAAAUUCGAGUUAUCUCGAUGAAACAGAAUCACCGAGGUGAUGUAACCCGGGGUUAGAGAGGAGACAGGGCGUAGCGAUCUUUCGUGGAAAGGGGAAAUCGAAGGGAAGGAAGAGAGUGAAUAACAGGGAGACGAGCGAGCGGAUUUCUUUCGAGUGUGCCUUUAAAUCCAGCCACCGGAUAGCGGAGAGAGGGCCGGAGGACUAGACGGACGAGUGGAGGUAAAGCGGCACAUAACAGCGAAGGGUGAAGUGGAUGAGAGCUUCGGAAGGACUGAAGCUCUCGACGGGGUUGAACUUUCAAAUUCCAUCGCAAACAUCUCACCCCCGAUGAACGGAGCCAGCCGCGGGAAUAGGGAUGAACGAUCAUUAUAGACUCGAAUAGGAGGGACCUUUUCGGGUUAGCGAUGGGCGAUUCCCUACUUGGUUUUCAAACAAUUUUCUUCCAUACAAUGGUUAAUAUCGCCUCGACGAGCCUCUCGUCGUACGUACGAAUUUGAAUCGAGUCAAUUUUCGACCUCUUCAGAGACUUCACGCUAUACGUGUGCGUUUAGUUUAUUUUUUUUUUUAAUUAAAAUUAUUUUAAGUGCGAAAUAAAAGAAUUAAAAUUUGUCGAACAAUUGUUCAUUACGGAAUCUUUUAAUGAUAAAGAUAUAAAAAUUUGAAACAUUUGGUGAUAUUUUAUUUUAUUUGACAAUCACUGCUUUGAAAAUAUUUUCAACAAUGCUUUUGACGGCUUAUGGCAUCCCUGAAGAGGUUAAUGUUUCAAAAACGCGUUUGAUAAAAAAUACGAUCGAGGGCUUUUUUUUAAAUUUUGAAAAAAGAGGAUCGAUUUGAAAUAUUUGUUAAUCGGUUUAUCGAUUUAAUGAUCACGGUUAUUUACGACUAAAAAUUAUCAAUUUAUUCAAAAGAUUAUCUUUUGUUUUAAAUUCACUUAUUCGUAGAACAUACACGAUAAAUUUUUUAUCAAAUAAUUUUCAAUAAUUUCAUAAUUAUUUCGUAUUUUUGUAAUUUAUAUUUCAACGAUUAAAAGUAUAUUAUACAUUUCGUUUAUCAUUGGAUCUUCCUAUAUUCAAUCGAAAGUAAAGUUAGAAUUUUAUCAUCAGAAAAAAAUUCAUCCUGUUUUUUGAUUUUAUUGAAACUUCGUACAAUAGAUUAUAUUCGUGGAAUAUUAUAUAAUUUUUCCUCUCUUCGAGUGAUCAAUUUCACCUAGAGCAAAAUUUUAAAUUAUAAAAUAUUUAGUUUUUACACAGGACAGAGUGCUUUAUCAUUUUACAUUUAAAAUCACUCUUUAUUCGAUUUCCCUCAUUCAAAGAAAUUUCCAAAGUCCAGACAAAAAUGAUGUAUAAUUCAUUAUGCUCUAUAUAAAUGCAUAAUAAUAAACUUUCGAUAAAAUUAAAACUUUCGAAUAAAUGGAAUUUCUUUGUACCUAUUAAAAUAGAAUAU